UAAAGCCUAGUUCUCAUUCAUCGCAAUCUGUCACCGACGAUCGGCGACGCUUAUCGCCGAUACUCGCCGAGCGCGAAUGCACGAAAGUUCUCAUACAUCGGUGAUCGUCGCAGAUGACAGCCGAUGUGUUUCGAAAUUUCCCAAAUUUCCCACAAAAUGGGCCCAUUCAACGUAAAGUUCAUGAUUUCUGUCAAACUUCAGUUGAUUAUUUCCUUGCUUGUUGAGGAAAAAACAACUUUUACUCAUUUCUCAUAGAUUUUUUAAGCAGGUGGCAGUCGGCGAUGGUCGCAAGAAACAAACUUUUUUGUUUCCUGCGAUGUCAUCGCCGAUGGUCGGCGACGAUUACGGACAGUCGGCGAUAUAAUUUUUGAUGUGUUCUCAUAAAUGGCAAGCGGUCGCCGACGUCGCAAAGCUCCCAUCGCCGACGGUUUGCGAUGAAUGAGAACUAGGCUUAACAAAUAUUUUCAUGAGGGGAAAGGAUGGAAUUUUGGCCUGUAUAGCCAAUUGAAUUGCAAGUAAUCCCCUAUAUGUUGAACUUGUCUCUUGUUCAGAUUGUGUGAACAUUCUGUGUGCCACAUGAUUUGUCCCCAAAACCAAUGUCUGGACAAGAUACGGGCCAAAUUCCCUGUAAUUGGGCCAGUGGAAAUUAUCUGUCCCACCACACUCGCUAACUGCCUGGCUGUGAUUCGAUGCUGAUUGAGAAUGGUAGUUAUUGCAGAAUUUAAUUUCUCUAGGCGAUGGGAUGCAAUUGGCGAUCGUGCCGUUUACGCCAUUCCAAUCCAAACCUAGCCAAGUUUUUUUCUGAGUUGGUACUCAUAUAUUGAUUUAUCGUCAUUGGCAACUAGGCCUGACAUGCAAAGAUCUGAUUUGAUAAUUGUGGCAUAUUCAUAUUUGUGGGAGAUUUCAGGUGAAUUUUCCAUGUCUAUGUUAUCCGGUCUAGGAAUAUUGUAGUGCUAAUACCCAAACCACGCCAGUGACGAAUUAGGGGACGAAGCAGUUUCGUAAAAAUAUAGGGAGCUGAAGAAAGGCCAAAAGGCAAGAAAGACAGUAAAUCUAUAGUAUCGUGUACUCCCGAUUGGUCCAAGAAAAUCCUAAAUACGACUGAUGUUCAGAAAAUAUGUCUAAGUGAUGGUAGCCGCUCUUUAAAUCAAAUUUUGUGAAAUACUUGCCUGGGCCGAAAUAAUUAAUGGCGGUACGCCAGUCCUCGAAUUUGAUAUUUUGGUUGCAAAUAUGUUUGUUUACAUAUCUCAAAUCCAGUAUUAAACGCUUUUUCUCACUUUUGUUCGUUGCUACGGAAAGUGGAUUUAUAACGACCAAGUCCUCCUUACGUGUUUCCGCUAUUCUACACGUGGAUAACAAUACUGAUAACGCUUCUGAAACAAAAUCUGCGUGAACGUGAGCGGAGCGAUUAUUAGGGAAAGUCGCUCACUCCGGGGUAGAAUAAACCAGGGUAAAAAGGGUAAAAAGAAAAUACAAGACACGAGAUCAAAGAAAAUACAAACAGACUGGUUCAGAGCAAAUUACGUAUUUAUUCUUGUUUGAAGCUACAGUGUUUAUCUGUGAUUACGUUUAUUUAAUACGAACGAUUGAACGAUUGUAUUUUCUCGCAAGUUUUCUUAGAGCCCAUUUUUCCAAACAAAUAGGUCUGAAUCCCGAGUGUAGAGUGAUACAGGACGGCGGCUGUGGCACAUUGUCUAAAACCAAGUUAUCCUUCGGAACUUCCCUACAAGAUUCCAUCUCCUGACAGCACCAAGCUUCGUGCGUAUAUUGUAUAUGUAUUAUCACACAAUCGCCGCAUUUACACUUGUGAAAUAUGAUACAGGUGAGGAAAGUGUGGUUUGAUGUGACUUAUGCCGUAUCAAAAAUAUAUCAGCCAGAGAUACUUAGUUUACGUUAAAAUCUUAAAUAAAUCUAUGUUUACGCUCACCAUGACUUAAUAUCUUCAAGGCCAUCUAAUCUUCGUAAAGUUAAUCUCCGCCAAAGCCGUAAAGUUAGAAACAGAAAGGCACCGUGGCUGACUGAUGCAAUUAAGAAAAGUAUGAAUCGCCGAGAUUAUCUCAAGAAGAAAGCUAUUAAGACAAACUUAACUGCAUGCCACAAUGCUUACAAAAGUCUUCGCAAUGAGAUUAACAAAAAAAUUAUGUAUGCAAAACGAGAUUAUUACACAAACUGUGUUGACAGAAACAGAAAUAAUACAAAGCAAAUGUGGAAACAUAUUAAUCAGUUAGUUAAUAAAAAUUCUAGAUCAACAAAUAUAUCAG
Paramuricea clavata is the source of this 2261-nucleotide non-coding RNA. The record is from the annotation of a GenBank genome assembly. NCBI's taxonomy places the organism in Eukaryota, Metazoa, Cnidaria, Anthozoa, Malacalcyonacea, Plexauridae.